RNAcentral lists this ribosomal RNA (503 nucleotides) under uncultured bacterium. Its description in RNAcentral is "bacterial SSU rRNA". It matches the Rfam family "Bacterial small subunit ribosomal RNA", at positions 30 to 523 of the family's 1533-position model. The record is from RNAcentral.
AUUGAACGCUGGCGGCGUGCCUAACACAUGCAAGUCGAGCGGUAACAGGUGUAGCAAUACAUGCUGACGAGCGGCGAACGGGUGAGUAAUGCUUCGGAAUCUACCCAAUGGUGGGGAAUAACCAGCCGAAAGGUUGGCUAAUACCGCAUACGUCCCACGGGAGAAAGCAGGGGAUCGCAAGACCUUGCGCCAAUGGAUGAGCCGAAGUCGGAUUAGCUAGUUGGAGGGUAACGGCCUACCAAGGCGACGAUCCGUAGCUGGUCUGAGAGGACGACCAGCCACACUGGGACUGAGACACGGCCCAGACUCCUACGGGAGCAGCAGUGGGGAAUAUUGGACAAUGGGGGGAAACCCUGAUCCAGCGACGCCGCGUGUGUGAAGAAGGCCUGCGGGGUUGUAAAAGCACUUUUAGUGGGGAUGAAAUGUUCAGGGUUAACACCUCUGGUAUUUUGACCUAACCCACAGAAAAGCACCGGCUAACUCUGUGCCAGCCGCCGCAGUAA